GUAUAAAAUUUAUUUAUUUAUUUUAUUUUUAAAUUUGCAUAAAAUAAUUUAAUAAAAAUAAUUUCAGAACAAAAAUUUUAGUAAUUUUUAAAGAAAAAAUAAUUUAAAUAAUAGUAAAUUAGUAUUGUAAAAGAAUAUUGAAAUAAUUUGAAAAAUUUUUAUUUUAAAAGAAAAUUUAAUUUAUUGUACCUUGUGUAUCAGGGUUUAUUAAAUAAUUAAUAAUUAUAGUUGUUUUUUUCGAAUUUUAAAGAUUUAAUUAUAUAAAAAAGUUAAUGUUGAAUAAUUAUUUUUAAUAUAUAAUUAGAAAUGAAAUGUUAAUCGUUAUAAAAUAUAUCUAGUUUUUUAAGAAAUAAAUUUAAUUUAGAUUUAUAUAUUUAAUUUAUUAAUUUAAAAAUAAAUUAAAUUCAUAAAAUUAAUAUUUUAAGGGAUUAGCUUUAAAAUAAAUUUUUAAAUUUUUUAAAUUUAAAAUUAAAAUGUAAGCUUAAAAUUAGUUAUCAAUAGUAAUUUUGUUAUAAAUUAUUUAUAAAAAUAAAUUAUUUAUUAUUAAAUUAAAUUUUUUAUUAAAAUAUUUAUUUUAAUAAUAAAAAUAAAGAAAAUAUGAUAAAAUUAGUAUAUAAAAUGUGUAUAAAUAAAUUUAAUUGAAAGGUUUAAAUAAGGAAUUCGGCAAAUUUUAUAUUCACCUGUUUAUCAAAAACAUGUCUUUUUGAAUUUAAUUUAAAGUCUAACCUGCCCACUGAAAUUUUAAAGGGCCGCAGUAUUUUGACUGUGCAAAGGUAGCAUAAUCAAUAGUCUUUUAAUUGAAGGCUUGUAUGAAUGGUUGAAUGAGAUAUAAACUGUCUUUUUUAAAAUUUUAUAGAAUUUUAUUUUUAAAUUAAAAAGUUUAAAUGUAAUUAAAAGACGAGAAGACCCUAUAGAUCUUUAUUUUUAUUUUUUAUAAGUUAAUAAGAUUAGAUAAAAUUAUAAAAUAAUUAAAAAUUUUACUGGGGUGGUAUUAAAAUUUAAAAAACUUUUAUUUUUUAUUACAUAAAUAUAUGAAUAAUUGAUCCAAUUUUAUUGAUUAAAAAAUUAAGUUACCUUAGGGAUAACAGCGUAAUUUUUUUUUAGAGUUCAUAUCGACAAAAAAGAUUGCGACCUCGAUGUUGGAUUAAGAAUUAUUUUUAGGUGUAGAAGUUUAAAGUUUAAGUCUGUUCGACUUUUAAAUUCUUACAUGAUCUGAGUUCAAACCGGUGUAAGCCAGGUUGGUUUCUAUCUUUAAUAAAUUAUUAUAUUAUAGUACGAAAGGACCUAAUAUAAAAAAUAUAAAUUUUAUUAAAUUGAAUUAUAAUAAAAUUAUUUACUAUUUUGGCAGAUUAGUGCAAUAAAUUUAGAA
This 1369-nucleotide ribosomal RNA is filed under the name Sabethes tarsopus. Its description in RNAcentral is "16S ribosomal RNA". The record is from RNAcentral. Lineage: Eukaryota; Metazoa; Arthropoda; Insecta; Diptera; Culicidae.